UGUGCAUAGCAUGAAACUGCCACCUGCAGAGGUCAGACGAGAGCCUGGGAGCCCCUGGAAGAGUUAAGAGCUGACAACUAGGCCCUAGAAACAGAACUCAGGUCCUCUGCAAGCACAGCAGGGACUUUAAACCACUGAGCAUCUCGCCGCCCACACACAUGAUGUUUUUGAAAGUGAGUCUCUCGUUGAACCUGGAGCUCACUGACUCUGUCGAACUACAGGUGGCCACCAAGCUCCAAGGGCCCCCACUGAGCCCAGUGAGAAGACAAGGGUGCUGCCCUGGCCUUACCUGGGUGCUGGAGAUUGAACUUGGAUCUUCAUGCUUGCCCAGCAGGGUAUCACUGUCGCCUGGCUGGCCUGAAACACACUACGUAGACCAGACUGGCUUCAUACUCACAGUCAUCCAUCCUCCUGUGCUUCCUGAGUGCUGGGAUUAAAGGCGAGUGCCACCACGCCCUGA
Molecule: long non-coding RNA, 460 nt
Organism: Myodes glareolus (Bank vole)
Lineage: Eukaryota; Metazoa; Chordata; Mammalia; Rodentia; Cricetidae
Source: RefSeq, a predicted model, not a curated record